GGGCCUUGGUCCUGUCGGUGUAGGCCCCACCAACCCCCGGCUACCCCUCGCCCGACGUCCAGGCAGUCUCGUUCCGAGUUGGGCCCCACGGUAUUUCUGGUGGACACGAUCGGCCCACACGCGGGCCCUGCCAGCCUCUGCGCUCCAUGCAGCUGCGAGGGCUCGGGCCUGCCCACCACUGGCGCGGGAGGCGCUCCAGGGCCCGCUCUCCAAUGGCGUCGGCGCCGGCCCUCGGGGUCCACGCCGCGGAGCCGGGCAGCCCUGGGUGUCUGCGGCGCCCUCGCCACCUCCGGGCACGGCCAGCCCGCACGGGCUGGGGGCUGGCGUCGGGUAAGCGCGGGCGCAGGGCCCGGGAGGCGGAGCAGACCAAGGCGCGCCUCCAGCACCCCGGGGACGCGGCGCCUCAGGCGGGGCCCCCGCGGAAGCCAGCGAGGCUGCGCAGCGCCGGUCGGCCCGGCGCCACCGCACUGGGCAUGCGCCGGCCCGCGAGCGCCCCGCCCCCGAACGCCCGCGGCCCCCGCUUCCGGUGCGCCCUCCCGGGUUCCGCUCCUCCUAGGCCCCGCCCCGCGCGCUAGGCCCUGCCCCUCUGCCCCGGAGCGUCCGCAGGCUGGCCCCGCCCCGACGCUGGGAGGGCCCACGCCCCGCCCACUGCCCCGCCCACCUCCCCGCCCACGCUCGGGCAGCGCGCGCUCCUGUGUCGCAGCUCGCGGUACUCGCGGUCCGCGCCUUUUGCAACUUGGUGAGUGUGUGAGUUGCUUUCCUCACGGCACAGUGGGGCUGUGCCCGGGGACAGCGGGCGUCUGGAGCCCACGGGACAGGCACAGUCCUGAGUGGUCCCACAGCGCCCCUGCCCCGACCCCUUUCCUCUCAGGCCCCAGGCGUGACCCACGUGUGACCCUGGUGGCUCCAGCCUUAUGUGGUUGGGGUGCGCAGACCCAGUGGCCUCUUGGCGGCGACGGCUGGCUGGGGGUCGUGGCCGCGCCCCCACGCCUCCAGGUGCCCAGCACCUUCGCUGCUCUGCCCGGCCCAGUGCCCUCCUGA
This 1041-nucleotide long non-coding RNA is filed under the name Oryctolagus cuniculus (rabbit). RNAcentral describes it as "lncRNA (ENSOCUG00000038337.1)". The record is from RNAcentral. Lineage: Eukaryota; Metazoa; Chordata; Mammalia; Lagomorpha; Leporidae.